Molecule: ribosomal RNA, 660 nt
Filed under: uncultured bacterium
Lineage: Bacteria
Description: bacterial SSU rRNA
Rfam family: Bacterial small subunit ribosomal RNA
Source: RNAcentral
GUGCUUAACCAUGCAAGUCGAACGGUGAAGAGGAGCUUGCUCCUUGGAUCAGUGGCGAACGGGUGAGUAACACGUGAGCAAUCUGCCCUUGACUCUGGGAUAACUGCGGGAAACUGUACCUAAUACCGGAUAUUACCUUGGAAGGCAUCUUCUGGGGUGGAAAGAAUUUUGGUCAAGGAUGAGCUCGCGGCCUAUCAGCUAUUUGGUGAGGUAAUGGCUCACCAAGGCGACAACGGGUAGCCGGCCUGAGAGGGUGACCGGCCACACUGGGACUGAAACACGGCCCAAACUCCUACGGGAGGCAGCAGUGGGGAAUAUUGCACAAUGGGCGCAAGCCUGAUGCACCAACGCCGCGUGAGGGACGACGGCCUUCGGGUUGUAAACCUCUUUUAGUAGGGAAAAAGCGACUGGGUUUUCCUGGAAGUGACGGUACCUGCAAAAAAAGCACCGGCUAACUACGUGCCAGCAGCCGCGGUAAUACGUAGGGUGCAAGCGUUGUCCGGAAUUAUUGGGCGUAAAGAGCUCGUAGGCGGUUUGUCGCGUCUGCUGUGAAAACCCGAGGCUCAACCUCGGGCCUGCAGUGGGUACGGGCAGACUAGAGUGCGGUAGGGGAGAUUGGAAUUCCUGGUGUAGCGGUGGAAUGCGCAGAUAUCAGGAGGA